AUCUCUUCUCGGCCCUUUGGCUAAGAUCAAGUGUAGCGUAGUAAAAAAGGUUUAAGAGUAGUUGCUUCUUGGUAUUGACUCUAUCAUCAAACUUUUUGUAAAGAUGUUUCCCGUUUGUCAUAACAAAUUUGCCUCUUAUGUGUAUUGUGCAGUAGUUCCUAAAUAUGUCGUGAAUAUAAA
This 180-nucleotide small nuclear RNA is filed under the name Fulmarus glacialis (Northern fulmar). Its description in RNAcentral is "U2 spliceosomal RNA". It matches the Rfam family "U2 spliceosomal RNA". Rfam says of the family: U2 is a small nuclear RNA (snRNA) component of the spliceosome (involved in pre-mRNA splicing). The record is from Rfam by way of RNAcentral. Lineage: Eukaryota; Metazoa; Chordata; Aves; Procellariiformes; Procellariidae.